UGAGACGGCUAAGCGAUCGCUGACAAACUAAAUUGUUAGAGGAAAGUCCGGGCUCCAAAGGACAAAGUGCCAGGUAACACCUGGGAAGUGUGAACUUACGGAAAGUGCAACAGAAAGUAAACCGCCCUAGUUUUAACUAAGGUAAGGGUGAAACGGUGUGGUAAAAGCACACCGCAAUGUCUGGUAACAGCAUUGGCUAGGUAAACCCCACUUGGAGCAAGACCGAGUAGAGAUAGUACGGCGUGAUCCGCGUCCAAUCUGGGUAGGUCGCUAGAAACAGAUGGCGACAUCUGUUCCAGAUGAAUGAUCGCUCACGACAGAACCCGGCUUAUCGGCCGUCUCACUCU
This 347-nucleotide RNase P RNA is filed under the name Gammaproteobacteria bacterium. RNAcentral describes it as "RNase P RNA component class A". It matches the Rfam family "Bacterial RNase P class A". From Rfam's summary of the family: Ribonuclease P (RNase P) is a ubiquitous endoribonuclease, found in archaea, bacteria and eukarya as well as chloroplasts and mitochondria. Its best characterised activity is the generation of mature 5'-ends of tRNAs by cleaving the 5'-leader elements of precursor-tRNAs. The record is from RNAcentral. Lineage: Bacteria; Pseudomonadati; Pseudomonadota; Gammaproteobacteria.